AUGGACGUUGCCGGACGUGCCCUACUGAGGAAGAAGGGAAGGAACCAUGUCCAGAGCAGGUGGGAAGACUGCGUCCAGCGGACAGAGGAUGACUGGGACUCAUUUUGCUGCUUUCGAAGUUCGUUUGUGAAAGGUGGCAAAGCUGAGAAAGCCUAUUUCUCCUACCUACUGCAUCCUACACAUGGUCACUAUGGAUUGCUAGGACAGUGAGUGACAAAGUUGAAAUGCCAAGUGGCUCAGAAAGGACCACAAGCCUCAUCUUCUCUGUGUCCUGACUGCAGACAUGGUCUUUAUUUCUUCUUUGAUGUGUACACAGAAGAGAGCUGUGCCCUGUUUAUGUGGAUGAAACCUUCUACGUGGGCAAGUCAAAAGUUGUUAGUUUAAAAAAAUCCAGUUUUAUAAUGAGAACAUGAGAAAAAUUCUAAGUCAUUGGCAUCCUUCCAUGAGGCUUUCUUUCUUGAUGGUACCACAGAGGUGGUAUAAAGUCUUUUCCAACUUCUGGUCACAGCUGACUGGAUGUUGAGGUCAUGGAAUUUAGUGUUCACCUGACUGGAGGAGCAUUAUUUCUGGAUGUGACCAUGAGGAAUUUCUAAGGAAACUGGUAUGUAUGUGGGUGCCUGGGCUCUGUGGGCAAGGUCCACUCUCAACUCAGGUGGACAGUGUGCAGCCAGCCGGGAGCUGCAGGGAAAUGAGAAAAGAUCUUCUCUGUGUCUCUCCUGGAACAGACAUGCUUUUCCUUUGUCCUUAAGACUCCAGGUCUGCGAGGUUCUGGUAUCUGGGUUGUGGAAAUGUGCUGAGUCCUCAGAUCUCUGGUCUCAGACUGAGGCUUACACAGUGGUUUGUCUGUUCUGUGCAUUUCGGACAUAGACUGAGCCCCUCUCCCAGUAUUCCAGAGCUCCCUCCACCUUGCAGAAAGCCUGUUAUGAGGAUGCUCAGCCAUGUAGGCCACUUCCUCUAAGAGCUGUUGGCUCAGAGGAACUUCAUUUAUAUUUUAAACAAUGCUGGGGCCAGACUCAGUGCCAACACAGACUGUUCUCAAGAGAAGAUCUCCACAGUAAGUCUCCUCUAAGGCAAAGCGUAGGAGUGUGGCAGUCUAUUGAGAGCCAGAAACUACAUGGCGAUCAGUGUGCAUCUGCAGCCUGGAAAAGCUGCACGCUGAGAUUCCCAACUGUGCCAGCAGCUGGUGGACCAAGACACACAAAGCCAUAGUAGACAGGGUUCUGGGCUUGAUUGGUACUAGUCACCUCCUUCUGGCUUGUUUCUCACUUCUGAUUGGUACUGAACAUUUUUCCCCUGAACCUCCAUUAAUUUUGAAAGUGUGAAGAUUGCAAAGUGCACAGCCUCAAAGCCAAAGAAUGCUGAUUCUCACCUGUAUCUGGAAGUGUAUGGAUUGCUGACUUCACAGGCUCCCAGAUGAGAUGAGGACCACCUCUGCAUAAGAAUUUUCCAAGUCAGGAGCAGUUGUAAUUUUCUUGGCCUUGUUAACACUUAUUAUAACAUACCCUUUAUAACCAGAGUGGCUGGUGCUAAUAUGUUGGAGGCCACCUCCUUUAGAAUAAUGCUUCUCCAUCCAGAAAGGGCACUGUUGAUAAGCUGAAGCCACACCUUUUUAAAUGGCACUAUUCCUAGUCCCAGCUACAUCUUCACAGGCAUCUUCUACAUCAUGUAACAGAAGUGGAUUGUUGAGGUGUUUUCUAUACUGGAGCUUCAGUCUCAGUGGAUGAUCAUGCUGUAGUGAAGCCUACACAGUGAUUUUCUGCAUCAGUCACCACUGGCCUAAUUGGACCAGACUCCACCUUGAUGAAAUACCUAGACAAUUUUUUAACUUUUUCAGUUUUCACCAGAGGGCAACAUCCUGGGCCACUUCCCCUUCUUUCUUCUGCAGAGAAAAAGAAAAGUUCUUAGGCUUAUAGUUCAUAUAUCAAAAAAAAAAGUCUCAGCAUGGCUAUGAACCAAGGUGUAGUUUUGCUCUGGUCUGAUUCACUAGCACAGAAUCCAUACUCUCCAAGAGCCAUGGAGCACUGUUACCACACCCUUACUGAUAUAGCCUGUCUUUAGGAACAGUGAAGUCAAUAUUUCUAAUACCCCACUGUACUUUUGUGUGUGUGUUUGCAUGUUUUUGUACAGCUCAGUUGUCAAUCUUUAAUUGUGGACUACCUUGGUUUUGGGAGUAGAAUCUUUUAUCGGUAUUGAAACUUACCCAUUUAAUUAUGCUUGACGGCCAUCAUAUACCAGGAAUCAGCCUGUCUCUUCCUUCCCAGUGCUGGGAGUCCAAGUGUGUACCACCAUCCCACUGUAUUAUAUUAUCAUCAGCAUUGCUGACACUUGGGUUCAAGGCCCCGAGCUCAGGUUCUCACUCUGCAUGACAAGCACUUUUUAUAGACUGAGGGUCUCUUCGGCCUUCACUUUAUGCAUUCCUGAAGUCUUGGUGCUCCUUCAUUGUCUGACAACCUGUCAUCUACAGUUCCGUUGUGUAGCUAUGCCGAAAUGUAUAUUCUAUAUCCCAGGCAAGUAUGACAAUAAAUGUCACCCCAGCUCAUCGGCAGUCUCUAGUGAAUUUGAACUGAAAAUAAAGCCUGCAACAUUUUCCUGGUGCUCACUUCCAGUGAAAUUUAAAAUUUAAAACACCACAAAAUAUCAAGUAAUCAACUCCCUCGGCUCAGGCUUUUUGAGAUGUAUACUGCAGGGCUGCUCAGCCCUCUACUGACUGCACAACAGAAUACCUUACAGAACAGCUUACAGAAGACCUCAACAAACAGCCGUAAAUUAGUGUGGAGUUGCCUACAGUGUGUUUGUCUAGCUAGGGAGCACUGCUGAGCCCUACAUGUUUCUCCUCGAUCUAAAAGUAACUAUUCCCAACAAGACACUAUGCAUAGCUCUGGGAAGAUCACUGACUACAGAUGGGAUAACCAAAUGUGAUCAAAACUUCUUGCUCCAGCCCUGUGAAAAACUUUAUUUUCUAGUGAGAAUGUUCACUGGGGGCAGUGUGAAUACAGCAGAAAGGUCGCAGCUGUCUGUCCCCCAGUCACCCUCUUGUACACGUAGGUGGAAUCUGUAAGAAUCCUUCGUAUCACUAUUGGCCAUUUUUUUUUUUGAGUUACUGGCCUCUGUGUCCCCAAAAUGAACUGGUUCAUUAAAAUCACAGACUCCAUUGGUACAGCCCAGCACAGGCUGAGUAGCCAGCACACGGUCCUCUGUCUCUGUGAUCUCCACACUGACCUUGCUGUCGGAUGCUGUUCAUAUUCCUUGGUGUAUCACUUUAGGUCACAUUUCAGGCUCUUAGCUUUGGGAAAAUGAUUUUUCAGUCUGAAAUACAGCACUGCAAUGGCGAAUGUGAACAGUUCUAAUGUCAGAAGCGACAGAAAGAAGACAGAUUGGGAGAGGCAGCUGUCUCUCACGUGCAUUGAAACCCCUGCCCUGCCCUGCUGCCCAUCUGUACUGCUCUGUGAGGACAGCAUUAGCUCCGGUCUCAUGCUUGGUGCUUGGGAUCUGAGGCUUCUGUCUCAAUAACCCCAUGCUGCUCAGAAGAUUUUAGGUCAGCCACAGGAAUAAGGAAGACCCACCCUUGUUAGAACCUGGCGUCUGUACUGCUUGCUAUAUGGUGUUAUGCCUGUAGCCCUGUGCCAUUACAGGGCUGUAUGCCAUCUGGGAACUAAGCUGGAAACUUAAAACCAGACAAACACAGAGAGAGGCGGAGACAUGGGUCACUCUUGAUACAAGAGUGUCAAGAAUGUCCCUUUUCUAUAUAAUUAUGGAUGGUCUCUCAGUGUUCCCUUAGUUCCCAAUCUCGAUGGGGCCUCCACUGUUAGAGUUCAAAAUGGUCCUGUACUACGUGCUAUACAGUACACUGACUGUAGCUCCCGACCCUCCUGUAGCUCCUGUGUCACUCUACAGGACCAAUUGUGCAAGCCAGGAACUUGACUGAGAAACUUAAACAUACAAAGACACACACACACACACACACACA
Molecule: long non-coding RNA, 3967 nt
Organism: Myodes glareolus (Bank vole)
Lineage: Eukaryota; Metazoa; Chordata; Mammalia; Rodentia; Cricetidae
Source: RefSeq, a predicted model, not a curated record